This 950-nucleotide ribosomal RNA is filed under the name uncultured Actinomycetes bacterium. Its description in RNAcentral is "bacterial SSU rRNA". It matches the Rfam family "Bacterial small subunit ribosomal RNA", at positions 8 to 969 of the family's 1533-position model. The record is from RNAcentral. Lineage: Bacteria; Bacillati; Actinomycetota; Actinomycetes.
AGAGUUUGAUCCUGGCUCAGGACGAACGCUGGAGGCGUGCUUGACACAUGCAAGUCGAACGAUGAAAUGGAGCUUGCUCCAUGGAUUAGUGGCGAACGGGUGAGUAACACGUGAAUAACCUGCCCUUAAUUUUGGAAUAACCCAGGGAAACCUGGGCUAAUACCGGAUAAGUAAACCUGUGGCAUCACAUGGUUUUGGAAAGUUUUUCGAUUAAGGAUGGAUUCGCGGCCUAUCAGCUUGUUGGUGAGGUAAUGGCUCACCAAGGCGACGACGGGUAGCCGGCCUGAGAGGGUGAACGGCCACACUGGGACUGAGACACGGCCCAGACUCCUACGGGAGGCAGCAGUGGGGAAUAUUGCGCAAUGGACGAAAGUCUGACGCAGCGACGCCUCGUGAGGGACGAAGGUCUUCGGAUUGUAAACCUCUUUCAGCAGGGACGAAGCGAAAGUGACGGUACCUGCAGAAGAAGCACCGGCUAACUAUGUGCCAGCAGCCGCGGUAAUACAUAGGGUGCAAGCGUUGUCCGGAUUUAUUGGGCGUAAAGAGUUCGUAGGCGGUUUCUCGCGUCGGAUGUGAAAACUCAGGGCUCAACCCUGAGCCUGCAUUCGAUACGGGGAAACUUGAGGACGGCAGGGGAGACUGGAACUCCUGGUGUAGCGGUGGAAUGCGCAGAUAUCAGGAAGAACACCAAUGGCGAAGGCAGGUCUCUGGGCCGAUUCUGACGCUGAGGAACGAAAGCGUGGGGAGCAAACAGGAUUAGAUACCCUGAUAGUCCACGCCGUAAACGAUGGACGCUAGGUGUGGGGAACAUUCCACGUUCUCUGCGCCGCAGCUAACGCAUUAAGCGUCCCGCCUGGGGAGUACGACCGCAAGGUUUAAACUCAAAGGAAUUGACGGGGGCCCGCACAAGCAGCGGAGCAUGCGGCUUAAUUCGAUGCAACGCGAAGAAC